GUGUCUUUAUGGGAGGGAACUAUGUGAACCCAUGGAUGCUAGGAAGCAAGUGUCACUGAGGUCCAGCUUAGAGGCUGGAUGCUAUAUGUGGAUAGGUAAAAGUCAAGGAGUGGUGCAAAAAGAAAUAGCCAAUACAGAUCUGACCAUGGUGGCUUUCAGCUAAGGUGGAAGGAUCCAUAUGCACUCUAAGCUGAAUUGCUGUUUGUAGCAUUAAGAAAACAAGGCAUUCUUAGGAUUCUUUUGGAAAUGAAAGUAAAUAUGUAUACAAAUUUGUUGAAUGCUUAUUUAACAAAUAUCCAUAGUGUAACUUUGUGCUAGAUAAGGAGCAAGGCAAAUUUACUCAAUGUCCACAAUACUAUUUGCACUUUUAUUUUACAUUGCAUUAUAAUUUACCCUUUACAGAUGAAGAAGCAUAAGAGAGAUUAAGUGACCAGUCAGCUACUGAACCCAGCAGUGAUGGAGCAGAGCUUUGUCACUGUUUUUUUCUAAUCUGUGCAGUUUCCCACCAAAGACUUCAGAAAGGCCCAGGAGAAAUGAAGACCGAAGGCCUGGAAGCUCCAGGGAGGGCACUGGAGAAUACGCGCUGAGAGACUGAGAAGCUGGGACCCACUGUCCACAGGUGACAGCCGCACAGCUGUGGCAGUAAACGGUGCAGUGCUCAUGCAGAACUGAGCUUUCUGACGCAGGCCGACUCCUCUCUUGUGCCCACAUCAUGUCCUGGUGUCAAGCCUCCUGGAGGACGCCACCCACGAAAUUGCUGGAAAUGUUUUGAACCAAUGAGGACAUUGAGAUGGCCCCAAAAAGGAACAAGAAAGGAGACUUCCAGAGCUGCUUCAGAGUGGCAAGAGCAAUGGGGAUAUUCUAAAAAUGAAAAAUACCAAGAUUCCAGAAACAGUGGCAGAGAGGCCACAAUGAAUGGAGCAGAAAGAGAAAUGAAGAAGACAAACUGACAACUAAUGACAGAAAAAGAGCUCAACAGAAAUGAGGCAGAGAAGGUUGGAUGGUAGGAACAGCCAUUUUGGAGAAAACAAGACAUCAUAGUAGGUAGUGCUGAUUUAAUAUCCUCUUGUUUUGAAGUCCCAUCAAGCUUUUGUUCUUCUGUCUCCAUCGGUUUUAAUGUG
Molecule: long non-coding RNA, 1121 nt
Organism: Cavia porcellus (domestic guinea pig)
Lineage: Eukaryota; Metazoa; Chordata; Mammalia; Rodentia; Caviidae
Exons: 4
Source: RefSeq, a predicted model, not a curated record